RNAcentral lists this ribosomal RNA (213 nucleotides) under Campeiostachys nutans. Its description in RNAcentral is "Elymus nutans partial small subunit ribosomal RNA". The stretch from base 91 to 213 matches the Rfam family "Eukaryotic small subunit ribosomal RNA", at positions 738 to 864 of the family's 1831-position model. Lineage: Eukaryota; Viridiplantae; Streptophyta; Magnoliopsida; Poales; Poaceae. The record is from RNAcentral.
GGCUUGGACUGGCGGUCCGCCGCAAGGUGUGUACUGUUGGUUCGGGCCUUACUUCUUGGUGAGCUCGCAUGGCCUUAACCGGCCGUGGCGGGGAACCAGGACUUUUACUGUGAAAAAAUUAGAGUGUUCAAAGCAGGCAAUCGCUUGGAUACAUUAGCAUGGAAUAAUGGAAUAGGACAAUGGUUCUAUUUGUUGGUUUCUAGGACCGUUGUA